UACGUAGGGGGCAAGCGUUGUCCGGAAUCAUUGGGCGUAAAGAGCGCGUAGGCGGCCCGGUAAGUCCGCUGUGAAAGUCCAGGGCUCAACCCUGGGAUGCCGGUGGAUACUGUCGGGCUUGAGUCCGGAAGAGGAGUGUGGAAUUCCUGGUGUAGCGGUGAAAUGCGCAGAUAUCAGGAGGAACACCAAUGGCGAAGGCAGCUCGCUGGGACGUUACUGACGCUGAGACGCGAAAGCGUGGGGAGCAAACAGG
RNAcentral lists this ribosomal RNA (253 nucleotides) under uncultured bacterium. Its description in RNAcentral is "partial 16S ribosomal RNA". It matches the Rfam family "Bacterial small subunit ribosomal RNA", at positions 524 to 776 of the family's 1533-position model. The record is from RNAcentral.